Molecule: ribosomal RNA, 429 nt
Filed under: Acidobacteriota bacterium
Lineage: Bacteria; Pseudomonadati; Acidobacteriota
Description: Acidobacteria bacterium partial 16S ribosomal RNA
Rfam family: Bacterial small subunit ribosomal RNA
Source: RNAcentral
UGGGGAAUUUUGGACAAUGGGGGAAACCCUGAUCCAGCCAUCCCGCGUGUGCGAUGAAGGCCUUCGGGUUGUAAAGCACUUUUGGCAGGAAAGAAACGUCAUGGGUUAAUACCCCGUGAAACUGACGGUACCUGCAGAAUAAGCACCGGCUAACUACGUGCCAGCAGCCGCGGUAAUACGUAGGGUGCAAGCGUUAAUCGGAAUUACUCGGCGUAAAGCGUGCGCAGGCGGUUCGGAAAGAAAGAUGUGAAAUCCCAGAGCUCAACUUUGGAACUGCAUUUUUAACUACCGGGCUAGAGUGUGUCAGAGGGAGGUGGAAUUCCGCGUGUAGCAGUGAAAUGCGUAGAUAUGCGGAGGAACACCGAUGGCGAAGGCAGCCUCCUGGGAUAACACUGACGCUCAUGCACGAAAGCGUGGGGAGCAAACAGG